UGCUUGAAAGAAAACUUCAAAUUUAUUGUUAGAUGUUUGAAUUGGUAAAUGCAUCCGAAGAGGAAGCAACGGUUUGCACACAAUACUGGAUUAGUUGGUAAUUUCUCAUUUGAGGCCUACUUUAAUAUAAGAUAAGGGUAUGGAUGUUCCACCUAUUUCCACCAUAUCAACGUCAUUAUACAUUUGAAUAUAAUAACCGGACCAGAUGGUAAAGUCCACAGAGUAUAAUUUUUUUUUUCUCAUAUAUCAUUUCACCACAUAUAAUAUGUAACAUAAUACCCGUUAUAAUACGACGUUUUUUACAUAGCCUUGGAUACAAACCCAUGGACACUUUGUUUUGGCCACUUGGUAAUGCAAGGCAUCUAUCAGCAAUGAACGACAUUGGAGUAUGUAUUCUGGGGAGAACAUUGACAUAACUGAGGCUAUUGAGUUUAAAAGAGUUUAGAAAAAAAACUAUGCAUGUCACUUUGAGCAUAACUAUUUGUACGAUAUUCAUAUAUGCACAUAUCUUGAUGUGAUUAUGCUUUUCUUCUCUUUAUUUGUGUAUUCGAUUUUUCCCUGCUAAUAAUUUGGUAUGCAACAAUAUAUUUAUCUUAUAGUUUAUAAAGCUCCAACAUGUAAAGGCAUGAAGGUUUUUUGGCACUUCAUUUAUAAUGUUAAUUAUGGAUUUCAUUGAUGAGGUAUGUGUGAAUAUAGGUCAUGGAAAAAAAGAUGCAAGGAUGUCCCUGGUAAGGAUUAUUAAAUAUUUAAGGCAUUUUGGAAAUUUUAUAUAGAAAUAAUAGUGUAAUCGAAAUUACCUGGUUGUGAGAAUGAUGAAUGGAGAGUGAACUGCGAAUAUUGCUCUAGCAGGUUUUGUUCUUUUUUCCAAUUCAACAUCUAAUUUAUUAUUAUUAAUCUUUUUGUUUUUGUUGUGGGAGAAUGUAACUAUGGCAUUUUGGUAAUGCAGGUCUGUUGUUGCUAUUAGUGAAGGUAAACCCAAAUAUAAAAGUCAUUUUGACGGCCCGUCUCUCAGUUUUUGUGGUUUGUUACCGCUCAGUUAAGCCAAUACCUCCUACUCCGUGGAAGUUGAGUUCACAAGGUCUCAAGUUGUUGCUGAUGUUCCUGGUCUUACAUCUAUAAGUAUCUUACAAAAGACGAGAUGAUUGAGAAAGAGACGUGUGAAACAGUUCCUAAAACAGGCCCGAAACCCAGAAAUCUUUUUUUCGUUAAAAUUUUCGGUUUUCUGUACAUCAUUUCAGAAAUCGACAGGCUUGAGUUACUCUAUGGGGUUCACUGGGGGAUGUAAUGAUUAAGGAGGAGAAGGAAAACCCUGCUAUCUACUAUUUUAUGACUUCCAUGAGUGCUUAGUUUUACCAAGUUCUCCAUUGCAAUGAGGAAAUACCCUCCUGAAGGCCUUUAAGUCUUCUCUAAGGUUGCUCUACUGUCCAUUUCCCAUGUGACAAUAUACCAUUCUAUGUAUAUUAGUCGCUCUAUCUCAUACGUAUUUGGAUGUAGCUAUAUACGUGUUUGUGAGUCCAGCCAGCCAAUCACAGUUGUGUAACCAAAGCUAACUUCACUAAUGUUCACGUCGAUAUCCUAAUUAUACUCCUAAACCUGAGGACAAGGCGGCAAUGAAGGCUACUUUGGGGAUUAUCUUUGACAAGGAUGUUGAUAGGGCCGAUCAGUCUAUUCAUAGAAUCCUGAUUGAUGCAAAGUUAAUCAUAUUUGGGCUAUGGACAGUUUGUUUACUUGAAAGUAUAUUCUGUAUAAGAAUGAGCCGCUUACGAUGUAAAAAAGCUUUUUAAAGGCUAGGAAAUUUGAUAUUGAGAAGACAAGGCAAAUGUGGGAUGAUAUGCUCUACUGGAGGAAAGAUUAUUUAAAGCCAAAAAAGGUACCAAAGAUGGGGGAUCACACUAUCUUGCGGUCCAAACAUUCACAUUUUCUUAAAUGGAAGCUGUAUCUAUAAUUUUAAGGGGUGAUUGUCUUCUCGGUGAUGGAGGUUUUGGCAGAAUAUAUAGAGGACGACUUGAUGGUUCAAAUAAGGUAUUACAUCUUUGGAGCUCAACCUUUGUAUUAUUUCACUCAAUAUAACAAUGUUUUUAACAUUAUACAAUGACUUUGAAUCAAAGUACACAACAAGCAGGAAAAAAUAAAUGUCGAAACUAUCUUUUGCUAAGA
Molecule: long non-coding RNA, 2157 nt
Organism: Erigeron canadensis
Lineage: Eukaryota; Viridiplantae; Streptophyta; Magnoliopsida; Asterales; Asteraceae
Exons: 9
Source: RefSeq, a predicted model, not a curated record